AGGGGGGAGGUGGCGUGCCCCCCUGGGUCUGUGGGGAGUUGGGUGGGACGUGUUUUAUGGGCAAAAACACGUCGUUUGGAGUAGGAUUUCCACCCACACAGACUCUAGCCAGAGCGUGGCGGCUCAAGUCAGAAAGCGUCCUUGGCCCCGUAUUAUCGAAAAAUCUGGUUUAACGUAUCCGUACGAGGAUCAGCAGGAUUUCGGUGUAUUUGCCUCGUUACAAUAGAUGAUUUGAGCUUCGCCACGUUGAACGUGUUUCUCUGCCUACAUCCAGGACGGCGUGGAGUCGUUGCCCGGUCGCGUAAAUGUUCCCAGUCGGCAUGAUUCCCCAAAAAGGUGAUUGCUGCGUUAUGUUUUUCGUGUUCCAUAUGGGCAACUUCUCCCUGUUCUAUCCGGGUGGACAGUCGGUGUUUACAUGUUCGAGCCGAGUCCCUUCAGAGAAAGCUCUCCGGAUCAGAAAGUGUCGUAGAACGGUGUGUUGCCUUCUCUCCACAGUCUGUGGUAGGAUACGCAACAUGCUGGACCGAUGCUAGAUGGGGAAGGAGAGCGUAGCACCGAGUCCCUUCAGAGAAAGCUCUCCGGAUCAGAAAGUGUCGUAGAACGGUGUGUUGCCUUCUCUCCACAGUCUGUGGUAGGAUACGCAACACGCUGGACCGAUGCUAGAUGGGGAAGGAGAGCGUAGCCCCUGUGACCGUAAUUGUUGCCGAUGUAACACCCGCGCGCUGUGGACACUCAGGACGCCUUCAUGCAAGCGAUUCUCCCAUGCUAUGCGUGGGAGGAGGCUUGGUAGGUUAGACUGCUGUGGCUACGCGAGCGCAUGAGUAGCUUUGGACCCGUGUCUGUUGGUAGAUCCCCCGUCCUCGUGCGGCCGACUACCGACGCCGUGUCCCAUCAUUCGUGUGGCUUAUGUUACUGUUGCCUUUCAAGUGCUUGCGUGCAUGUACCCGACCUACGGGAAGUGGUGCUUCGUACAUGUUUGCCUCGCGGCGGACACCUUCGGGCGUACCGUUGUGGCCUAAUGGCGCUUGCGGCGUUUCCUCGUGGUGCUGGCAUGUUUUUUGCUCGGUGCUAUCAAGGAAGCCUCGUUAUCGCUGUUGGUUUCGGAUGCUGCUCAUGAUAAAGGCUCAUGGCCCUUUUGGUGCCUAGAACCGACACAGAAGCUAUCUGGAUCAGAACGUGUCGUAGAACGGGAUGUUGCCUCUACCUCUCCACAGUUAGUGGUAGGAUACGCAACAGGCUGGACCGAUGCUAGUAGGAGAAGGAAAGCUUAGCCCGCUCAAUUGCGACAACCGGCUCGGCCGUUGUCUGCCUGCAAGGGCGGAUUGCUACCGAUGCUGGACGUCAAAGAGGACGUGCU
This 1357-nucleotide unclassified non-coding RNA is filed under the name Avena eriantha. RNAcentral describes it as "external transcribed spacer". The record is from RNAcentral. Lineage: Eukaryota; Viridiplantae; Streptophyta; Magnoliopsida; Poales; Poaceae.